GGGGAAUAUUGGACAAUGGGCGGAAGCCUGAUCCAGCCAUGCCGCGUGAGUGAUGAAGGCCUUAGGGUUGUAAAGCUCUUUCGCCGAGGACGAUAAUGACGGUACUCGGAUAAGAAGCCCCGGCUAACUUCGUGCCAGCAGCCGCGGUAAUACGAAGGGGGCUAGCGUUGUUCGGAAUUACUGGGCGUAAAGCGUAUGUAGGCGGGUCGUUAAGUUAGGGGUGAAAUCCCAAGGCUCAACCUUGGAACUGCCCUUGAUACUGGCGAUCUUGAGUCCGGAAGAGGUAAGUGGAACUGCGAGUGUAGAGGUGAAAUUCGUAGAUAUUCGCAAGAACACCAGUGGCGAAGGCGGCUUACUGGUCCGGUACUGACGCUGAGAUACGAAAGCGUGGGGAGCAAAC
This 400-nucleotide ribosomal RNA is filed under the name uncultured bacterium. RNAcentral's name for it is "bacterial SSU rRNA". It matches the Rfam family "Bacterial small subunit ribosomal RNA", at positions 356 to 773 of the family's 1533-position model. The record is from RNAcentral.